This 21-nucleotide microRNA is filed under the name Echinops telfairi (small Madagascar hedgehog). Its description in RNAcentral is "Ete-Mir-6715_3p (mature (co-guide))". The record is from RNAcentral. Lineage: Eukaryota; Metazoa; Chordata; Mammalia; Afrosoricida; Tenrecidae.
CCAAACCACUCGUGCCUGGAG